AUAAUGGAAGAAAAGCAAGAUUAUUGAUUGAGUGAGACCUCGAAGAAAUCACGAAAGAUUUUGUGAGUGGAAAAUUAUUUCCUUCCCUGAUCAUGCAAUGAAUUUAUUCAAAUAGAAUAUGCAAGUCAUGGCAACUUUUCUAAAGACAACGCAAUAAAGAAACUACUAAACGAGUUGACAGAUGAUAUAUUUCUUCAGGCGCUAGAGCUAACAUUGUAAUGCAAUUACUGGCCUAUAUUUUGUCAACAAUAAGUAUCCGAAAGGAAAAACCAGCAGGACGGUGGAAGCUCCUUCGCUUAGAAGUUGCUGAAGGAUAACCAUAAACCCUGAAUCUACAUAAGAACUUUCUCUAAGUAUGCAUGUGUGCUUAUCUACCCUAGCAAAUUCCCUUUUUUGGUUUAGUAAAAAACUUUUCUAAUGUAGGUGGUAAAUUAGUUCCCUCACGCUAAGAUAU
Sitophilus oryzae (rice weevil) is the source of this 454-nucleotide long non-coding RNA. RefSeq lists it as uncharacterized. NCBI's taxonomy places the organism in Eukaryota, Metazoa, Arthropoda, Insecta, Coleoptera, Curculionidae. The record is from RefSeq and is a predicted model, not a curated record. The transcript has 3 exons.